AGCUAAUUGGACGUUUAUCAUUUUCAUCUUCAAGUCUGGAUUCUAAUUGAAGUGGGAGGGAACUAGCAGUGAGUGAUAUCUGCAUUCAAAAAAAAUGUCCCAUUCAACUUUUGAUGCUUAAAAGAACCUAAACAUAAUUAGUUCACAUAGUUUACUGGAGAGAGAAAGACAGAAGAUAUGUGAGAAGAAGAUACAUUAAUAUUAACGAAAGGUCAAAUAGUAUAAACUGGCAAUGAGAGUUAAGAACAAGAUAUAUAUUCAUUUCAUAAUAGGAGAUGCUACAGUACACAAUGCAAACUGUGUGACAGAAUAUUAAUGGAAAAGUGACAAAACUGCAAAUAUACAGAUUAAAAGUUAUCACAAAGAAGAGAGAUAAAUUAUUGUUGAAUUGAAGAUCUAAGCAGAGGGCAUUAUUUCGAGGAGAUUUUAAGUUAUUGAACCUCAAGAAAAAAAAUCAG
This is a non-coding RNA of Pelobates cultripes (western spadefoot toad), 458 nucleotides long. NCBI's taxonomy places the organism in Eukaryota, Metazoa, Chordata, Amphibia, Anura, Pelobatidae. The record is from the annotation of a GenBank genome assembly.